This is a non-coding RNA of Paramormyrops kingsleyae, 1139 nucleotides long. The record is from RefSeq and is a predicted model, not a curated record. NCBI's taxonomy places the organism in Eukaryota, Metazoa, Chordata, Actinopteri, Osteoglossiformes, Mormyridae.
GGCACCUGAGCCUCCAUGCAAAACCCCACCGACCAGGAAAACAUCUGAAGAGAUGCACAGGGGUGCCUGGAAGCACGGGAACCAGAACCAGAACGGAGGAAUCCCUUACGAAGAGGCCGGCGCACCCGCUUUCUGUGUAACAGGAAUCAAAACAACCGCUCGUGGGGAAUGUUGUACACCACGCGACCGAGCAGCGGGACGGAGACAUUUAAUCCGUUUUUAAUGCUGUCUUGCCAGCCGUUAUGCACUUCAUCAGCAGUUUCCUGCACCACACGCUGUGCAACGUGUGUUUGUUUUUUUUGUUUUUUUUUCCGGGCUUUUUUUUUCUAAUGCACUAGCCUUGUCAAUGUCGUUUUAACGUUUGGAUGACAAUUACAGAUUAUUUAUUAUAGACUACGAAUAGUGUCGUUAGACGUUGGUUCGUCCUUGUAGUUUCAUAUUAGGACUUUGCUGCUGUUUUUAAUAUUUGUUGUUUUAUAUUUCCUUGUUGUUUUAUCGAUAUAUUAAAAUACAUUCAAUAAUAUAUUCUACUUUUCGAUAAAAGCUUCUUUGGAGGAGGCCUACCAAGAAAUUAUAUUAUAAUAAAAUUAUAAAGUUAUAAUUAUGUAAUUGCUCAAAUUGUCUCCGACAGGUCUUUCGCAUGUGAAAUCAAGAUUUUGGAGCAUAUUUUUUUAGACCUGGUCACAUAUCUGUUACGUGUUUUAAUUAUAUGACUCUUAGAAGUCAUAUUUAAAGAGACCCCAACUGCAUGUAAAAUACUUUACGCACUUAUUAUUGCAUGUGUAUACGCGAUGUAGCCUAUUGUUGUUCUUAGAAAGUUUCAGGAUGAGUUCUGGUUUACUUGGCUGGAUUACAGCUGUCAACCGCGCUAAAGAUAUAUUCCAUAAUCCGGGAUUAUAUGAACCACAACACUUCUCAUUUAGUCAUAAAUGAUAAAUACCGCAAACCGCGAACGGACUAGAUUACAAUGUAUUUGACAUAGGCCUACUAUAUAAAUGUGCUUUGUAAAGUUAUAAUGAGAAGGUUUUCCGUGACAUUGAUUUUCUGACUACGAAGUGUUCGUUUUUCUAUAAUUUAAAUACAUUGUAUUAUUCUUGUUCUUUUGUUGCUGUUACCUGAAAUUAAAUAUGUCCUCAAUA